UGCCAGCCGCCGCGGUAAGACAGAGGGUGCAAACGUUGUUCGGAAUUACUGGGCGUAAAGCGCGUGUAGGCUGUUUAGCAAGUCGGGUGUGAAAGCCCAGGGCUCAACCCUGGAAGUGCAUUCGAAACUGCUAGACUAGAGUCUCGGAGAGGGAAGCGGAAUUCUGGGUGUAGAGGUGAAAUUCGUAGAUAUCCAGAGGAAUACCGGCGGCGAAGGCGGCUUCCUGGACGAGUACUGACGCUGAGACGCGAAAGCGUGGGGAGCAAACAGGAUUAGAUA
Molecule: ribosomal RNA, 279 nt
Filed under: uncultured bacterium
Lineage: Bacteria
Description: partial 16S ribosomal RNA
Rfam family: Bacterial small subunit ribosomal RNA
Source: RNAcentral